UAAACCUGUGGCGUAUGAAAGUUCCCAGGCUAGAGGUUGAAUCAGAGCUGCAGCUGAGAGCCUAUGGCACAGCUACAGCACCAGAUCCCAGCCCCGUCAGUAACCUACACUUCGGCUUGGGGCAAGGCCAGAUCCUCAACCCAGUGAGGCAGGCCAGGAAUCAAACCCGCAUUCUCACGGAUGCUCUGUGGGGUUCUUAACCCACUGAGCCACGUUUUGGGAACUUCUAAAAGUUUUCUUAAGGUAGUUCAUUGGAUCCAGUAUAUCCAUAAUAUUUUUACUUAAACAUAUAAUCAGUAUAAAAAUGACUAAUGUGGCAUUUUACAUUAAAAUUUUUUGAUGUCUGUUUAAAUUUUUUUUUAAAUUGAGAUAUAAUUGGCAUAUAACAUUGUGUUAUUUCAGGUAUAUAACAUAAUGAUUUUAUUUUAGUUUUGGAGCAGUUCAAUAAUUGUUUUAAUCUUGAAAGAAAUCAUCUUCGAACAAAAUGGUAACGUUUUAAGAAUUCAGAGAGUGUAAUAAAGAUGUCAGAACUGUCCAGAUGCUCAUUGUGCAAUUGGAAACCACUCAAAAGUUGACACAAGUCUCCAAAAAAGAAAAAGAAAAAAAGGUCAAUGAGCUCAUUCAUUCUUGCAACAUCUGCCAGAAGCUACGGCUUCUUCUUCUUCUUCUUCUUUUUUUUUGUCUUUUUGCCAUUUUCUUGGGUUGCUCCUGCAGCAUAUGGAGGUUCCCAGGCUAGGGGUCGAAUUGGUGCUACAGCUGCUGGCCUACACCACAGCCACAGCAAGGCCAGAUCCCCGCCCCGCUGAUGCCAGGGAUCGAACCCACAUCCUCAUGGGUAGCGGUCAGGUUUGUUUCCACUGGGCCACAACGGGAACUCUCAACAAGCUUGUUUUCAGUUGAUUGUUAACUGCUGUUUGCAGGCUCAUUUACCUGGACCAUCAACUUACUGUUGCUUUUCCCUCUGCAGAAAGGCAGAAACACUCCAGAUGUCCUCCAAUAGUUACCAAGUUUCAAUCCCGAUGUCAAAAAGGAACACCAAUGGCCUGCCGGGGUCCAGCUCCAAUGAGCUGAAGACGUCUGCUGGGGGAGCUGUGUUAAGCUUUCAUGACAUCUGCUAUCGAGUGAAAGUGAAGAGUGGCUUUCUUUUUUGUCGGAAAACGGUUGAGAAGGAAAUACUGACGAACAUCAAGUACGUCGUCCAUGAACUUUUACUGAAACAGGUUCAUUGUCGUGCAGUGCGCGUCUCAGGUUUUGCUUAGUGCAGAUCAAGGUACCGGUCUGCACAGGUAGACAGACACACGCUCUUCAUUGCUUUCGGCUAAACGAGCUGAGCGGUGAGCCAGUUGGAUGAGAUGUUGGGUGUAUGUAUGUACAUGUAAGACAACUGGAGCUUAGCUCACGUCUAAGAGACGGAAGAGAGUUUAGGACCCAAAGUAACACACUCGGUUGUCUUACAGAAUUCAAGUCCGUACAAAACUAUGAUUUUUCUUCCCGCCAUCCAGCAACUGACUCAUCACAUGGUGGUGGCGUGGGCGAUAGAGGGACCCCUGAGUGUGAGAAUAAGGAGAGGAAUGGGAGGUGAAAAGCUUUUAUCUUUUGCUGCAUAUGCCCAGACUAGCAUCGACCGACCUUUCUGAAAAGCUGCCAGGUUAUUUGUGGAGCAAAGAAUGAAGAAAAGUGCUGGUCACUUGAGAUGUUUUGCUGCUAAAUGGAAGUUAGCAAAUGAUUUGCAAUAUGUGCAGGUUGAGUAAAUUGAAUAUAUUACUGCUCGAGGGUAUAUUUGUCUUGCUUAUGUUUUGUUUGUUUGUUUGUUUGUCUUUUUUGCCAUUUCUGGGGCUGCACCCGAGGCGUAUAGAGGUUCCCAGGCCAGGGGUCCAAUCAGAACUGCAGCCGCUGGCCUACACCACAGCCCACUGAGCAAGGACGGGGAUCGAACCCGCAAUCUCAUGGUUCCUAGUCGGAUUCAUUACCCACUGAGCCACGAUGGGAACUCCCUUGCUUAUGUUUUAAAGCUAGUAGUGUGUUAACUUGCUAACACUAAUGGUGUCGUCUGCUCAAGGCUUUACAGUGUUUUUAUGGUUGAGUGGUAUGCAUUUCAGCAACAGGUGAGUUCAUCCUUACACGCAUUUCUAGGUUCAUAAAAACUCAGUCAAAUCUUGUAAUCAUUUCAAAUUUUAGUAAUUAAGAGGAUGCCAGGGAUUGUUUUUCUUGCUUACUCACAUUUCUGGUGUAGGCAGUGGUGUUUCUUUUUCCUAUUUGCUGGUUUCAACUGAGUUUGUCUAGGAUGGGCAAAGGGUGCUCUCAUUUAUCUUGUUUAUUUGUUUAUUUUUUUAGGAGUGCAACUGAGGCAUAUGGAAGUUCCCAGGCUAGAGGUCAAAUCAGAACCACAGCCACAUGGAUCCAAGCCCUAUCUGCAACCUUCGUUGAAACUCAUGGCAAUGCUAGAUCCUUAACCCACUGAGCGAGGCCAGGAAUCGAACCUCCAUCCUCAUGGAUACUAGUUGGGUUUGUAACCCACUGAGCUAUAGCAGGAGCUCCGUCACUUUGUUUCUUUAUGUGCUCACUGCUGUUGAUAUUUUUCUGGACCAUGUGAGAACAGGCUGCCCAUAUGAUGUUCCAUUAUCACCACCUCCUCCAGUAAAUAUUUCUAGAGACAGGGACUCUCCCUUAUAUAACCACUCAGUCAUUGCCUGGGAGCAGUCCAGGGGUGGCCUCAGCCUGAACAUAGGGGCGGGUCCUGGGGGGCUGCUGCUCAGCCACGCUUCUCAGCACGUUGUGUCUCUUCAGUCUCAUCCACGCUGUCGUUUUUCUGUCCCAUCCCUUAACCUUGAUUACCUGCCCAGGUUGGGGUCUGCCAGCCUUCUUUAGUAUAAUGUCACCAUCAUCCCCUUUGUAAUUGAUAAAUAUUAUGAAGGGAGAUACUCUAACAUUAUUCCAU
This 2938-nucleotide long non-coding RNA is filed under the name Sus scrofa (pig). RNAcentral describes it as "lncRNA (ENSSSCG00055003389.1)". Lineage: Eukaryota; Metazoa; Chordata; Mammalia; Artiodactyla; Suidae. The record is from RNAcentral.